RNAcentral lists this non-coding RNA (148 nucleotides) under Nomascus leucogenys (northern white-cheeked gibbon). Lineage: Eukaryota; Metazoa; Chordata; Mammalia; Primates; Hylobatidae. The record is from Rfam by way of RNAcentral.
GCCGGGCAUGUUGGCACGUGCCUGUAAUCCCAGCUACUUGGGAGGCUGAGGCAGGAGAAUCGCUUGAACCCGGGAGGCAAAGGUUGCAGUGAACCGAGAUUGCGCCACUGCACUCUAGCCUGGGUGACAGAGAGAGACUCCGUCUCAA